Molecule: ribosomal RNA, 406 nt
Filed under: uncultured bacterium
Lineage: Bacteria
Description: partial 16S ribosomal RNA
Rfam family: Bacterial small subunit ribosomal RNA
Source: RNAcentral
AUUGAACGCUGGCGGCAGGCCUAACACAUGCAAGUCGAACGAGUGGCGGACGGGUGAGUAAUGUCUGGGACACUGCCUGAUGGAGGGGGAUAACUACUGGAAACGGUAGCUAAUACCGCAUACCAUCGGAUGUGCCCAGAUGGGAUUAGCUAGUAGGUGGGGUAAAGGCUCACCUCGGCGACGAUCGCUAGCUGGUCUGCGAGGUUGACCAGCAACACUGAAACUGGAACAAGAUCCAGACUCCAACGAGAGGCAGCGGUGGGGAAUAUUGAAAAAGGGGCGCAAGCAGGAUGCAGCCAAGCCGAGUGGAAGAAGAAGGCCCUCAGGUUGUAAAGUAAUUUCAGCGGGGAGGCGUUACCCGGAGAAGAAGCACCGGCUAACUCCGUGCCAGCAGCCGCGGUAAUAC